Molecule: ribosomal RNA, 750 nt
Filed under: Streptomyces marokkonensis
Lineage: Bacteria; Bacillati; Actinomycetota; Actinomycetes; Kitasatosporales; Streptomycetaceae
Description: bacterial SSU rRNA
Rfam family: Bacterial small subunit ribosomal RNA
Source: RNAcentral
GAACGGGUGAGUAACACGUGGGCAAUCUGCCCUGCACUCUGGGACAAGCCCUGGAAACGGGGUCUAAUACCGGAUACUGACCAUCACGGGCAUCCGUGGUGUUCGAAAGCUCCGGCGGUGCAGGAUGAGCCCGCGGCCUAUCAGCUAGUUGGUGAGGUAAUGGCUCACCAAGGCGACGACGGGUAGCCGGCCUGAGAGGGCGACCGGCCACACUGGGACUGAGACACGGCCCAGACUCCUACGGGAGGCAGCAGUGGGGAAUAUUGCACAAUGGGCGAAAGCCUGAUGCAGCGACGCCGCGUGAGGGAUGACGGCCUUCGGGUUGUAAACCUCUUUCAGCAGGGAAGAAGCGAAAGUGACGGUACCUGCAGAAGAAGCGCCGGCUAACUACGUGCCAGCAGCCGCGGUAAUACGUAGGGCGCAAGCGUUGUCCGGAAUUAUUGGGCGUAAAGAGCUCGUAGGCGGCUUGUCACGUCGGUUGUGAAAGCCCGGGGCUUAACCCCGGGUCUGCAGUCGAUACGGGCAGGCUAGAGUUCGGUAGGGGAGAUCGGAAUUCCUGGUGUAGCGGUGAAAUGCGCAGAUAUCAGGAGGAACACCGGUGGCGAAGGCGGAUCUCUGGGCCGAUACUGACGCUGAGGAGCGAAAGCGUGGGGAGCGAACAGGAUUAGAUACCCUGGUAGUCCACGCCGUAAACGGUGGGCACUAGGUGUGGGCAACAUUCCACGUUGUCCGUGCCGCAGCUAACGCAUU